Molecule: ribosomal RNA, 465 nt
Filed under: Vreelandella stevensii
Lineage: Bacteria; Pseudomonadati; Pseudomonadota; Gammaproteobacteria; Oceanospirillales; Halomonadaceae
Description: partial 16S ribosomal RNA
Rfam family: Bacterial small subunit ribosomal RNA
Source: RNAcentral
CCUACGGGUGGCAGCAGUGGGGAAUAUUGGACAAUGGGGGGAACCCUGAUCCAGCCAUGCCGCGUGUGUGAAGAAGGCCCUCGGGUUGUAAAGCACUUUCAGUGAGGAAGAACGCCUGGUGGUUAAUACCCAUCAGGAAAGACAUCACUCACAGAAGAAGCACCGGCUAACUCCGUGCCAGCAGCCGCGGUAAUACGGAGGGUGCGAGCGUUAAUCGGAAUUACUGGGCGUAAAGCGCGCGUAGGUGGCUUGAUAAGCCGGUUGUGAAAGCCCCGGGCUCAACCUGGGAACGGCAUCCGGAACUGUCAAGCUAGAGUGCAGGAGAGGAAGGUAGAAUUCCCGGUGUAGCGGUGAAAUGCGUAGAGAUCGGGAGGAAUACCAGUGGCGAAGGCGGCCUUCUGGACUGACACUGACACUGAGGUGCGAAAGCGUGGGUAGCAAACAGGAUUAGACACCCCGGUAGUC